UGCAAUUUAUCUGCGAUAAUCUGAUAAAGUACAACAUGCACCAACUGAACAUUUGCUAGUAUAGCUAAAAUCUGAAGCUAUCCGACACAAGGACCAUCCAAUUUUCCAAGACAGUUAGUCACUAUGUGUGAACAAGGCCAGAGGACUAAAAUAUAAAAAGCAAGCUAAGUAUUCAUCAGCAGAUUUUUCUUGUGCUUGCUAUAUGUCUGAAACAAACAAUAGUCAAAGAAUGUACUUACGAACAGACGUAAGCAGACACCAUAUCAAUAGCUAACAGCAUCACACAGCAACCCGAUCACACAUCAAGAUGGAUUGAUGGAAAUGGAAAGAUAAAGUAUGCUCUGGCAGUAGAACCAAAAUUUCCUAACCUGUAACCAUGAAAAAUAUCUGAAUACAACAAAUUAUGUCUCAUCCAUGCCAUCUAAAGAUUCUGAACCAUCCAAACAAAUUUUAUACCAAGAUUGUGGAUGCAUUCCUGCAAAAGAAUAAGAUAAAGAAAAUGCAAUAAAAAACCUCAAGUGUAGGUUUGUUUGAAAUUCAGAUAUUUUGCACAUACCUUCUUUAUGAAUCUCCAAAGAAUCAAAUAUAAAUGAUGAGAAGGAUAUCAGGAUUGUCCUAGUAGAUAUGGAAUCCGAAUAGAAGUAAGCCACGAUUCCUUGCUUCCAUUGCCGCAUUUCACUCGUAACAGAGGCUUUGAAAACAAAUAUCCUUUGCUUAUUCGUGCUACUGUUGGAUCUAUGAGGCUAGGAAGACAGACCUUUUCGUUACGCAUUUAGCCAUAUUAGAUACCUGAAAAUUGAAAAAAGCCAAUUGAUAUGAGCACAUGAAACUACAAGAAGAUACCAACUCCUAGAUACUUUGCACUUUGAAUAUUUUAUUAAGUGAAUCUGUAAGACAUGCAGAUUAUGAAUAUCAAAUAUCUUCCCUAUGGUCUUAAAUGUGGGUCUAGAUGAAUAAACAUAUUAGUCAUUUGCAUUAGGAUUGGUAAGAUUCUAAUCACCCUAGACAAUAUAUGAAGUGCAAUUGUUUGACUUGUUCUAUAUCCAAUUUCAAUUGCUUUGUUCUAUGAAAUAAGGAAGACAAAGUGUAGUCUGAUUAGGAUGCAAGUCAAUUUUUAGGUUUUCAAGCAAGGGCUGACAUAGAUAUACAAACCAGAAGAAUUUCCCCCAUUUGAAUUACUUUAUAUGUUCACUACCAGUUUCAAAUGACAAAAGGAGCAAGUGAAAGUAAAAGAAAAGUGCAUAAAAGAAAAGGUACUCGCUUGAACAGAUCUGCAAAGCUUCAUACUUGUAUCAAUGUGCUUUGUAAUAAGCAUUACUGCAUUAGUAUACAAAUAGAAACAUCAUGAUACAUAAAGAUAGGCCAGGGACAUAUGUGUUACCUUGCAAAGCACCACAGGUUUGGCCAUCAUGUUUGCGCCACCUCUCCUAGUUUUCCGGUAGGAACAAAAAAUUAAAAUAUGUCGUGUUUUUUUCGCUACCACCACCAAACCCCAAACAACAUUUAAGAAAACCCAACAGCAUUUAAGAAAGCCCAACAGUACUGAUGCAUUUACCAUUCCAAUCCUUAUAAUACUAAACUGAAAUCUGAUUCUCUUGGAGGUUUGAAAAUAUUCGAAAAGAUCCAUCUUUGUAAUGCCAUUAACGAUUCAUGAGUACAAAAAUCGCCAAAUAGACCAAAAAAUUGCUAGAAGUAGCUCAGUUCAAGUGCUACAACAGGAACCUGCGUAUAUAAAUAUAACCGUAGUUCGAAGAGGUGGGCGCUCACAUCUUUCUCCACUGUCGGCUGUCACCACAGGGCACCACUCCAACCCCUUUGUUAUCAGCAUAUACCUAAAUAUUGGUACAGCCAAAUUUACAAAAUUUAUAUAUAUUGUAUGAUAACAAUAAAAAGUAUUUUUUUAGGCUAUAAACCAAAGGUGAUUGUCCAAAGUUUAUAUGCUGCUAUCAACUAUCUCUCUAUAUAUAGUGCACGUGCUCAACCAUUUUAUUUUAACUAUACAACUAACGCCUGUUAGCACAAGCGUAGAACAUAAAAUAGCUUGUUUAUCCUCUUGGCAAUAAAUUAAAACAGCGAACCCCAGUUUCUAGUUUUGCGUGUUUCGCUCGAAGAAAAAAUGUAAAUGAAAGUGAAAGCUCAGCCCAUUGCAUGAAUAGCUACUAUAUUAUUGGAAUCUGGAAAUUCUGGCUCACAUAUUGUUUGCCUUCAACCUUCGAAAAUUUAAACUGAAGAGUGGAGCGAUGUGGAAACCUAAGUAGCAGCAAUUUGUUUUCUGCUAACCUCCCUCUCAGAUAUCACUUCCUUCACCAACAAAAUAGAUGUGCACCCACAGGAUAAAAAUCCAUGUGUGUAGACCUAGCAAUGCAUGUGUGAGCUCAGAGUGUCGUUUUUUCGGCAAGGACAUGAAAGGUAACCCUUAACUAACCCUUGACAUCUGGCAGAAUUAAACACUACCUGCUUAUGUGCCCUCACCAACACGCUUCAUAUUGAUUUAGGAUGGUCUUGUCUAAAGCUAAAUUGUCUUCAUGUUCAUGCUGCAAUUUUCUUUGCCUUCAAACAAUAAAUUGUAGAUGUGGAAACAGUAGAGAAUAGUCUAUAUGCGCACCAAAUGAGGGCAACAGAAGUAUCACCCAUAUGAAAAACGUCACUAUGCGAGCAUAAAUUUUCAGGAAAUGAUAGCAUGGUGAGAUUCAUCGUGUAAUAAUGAUUAUAAGCACAGACAUACAUUUGAACAAACAGAAGAUUAAGAAAGGGGAACAUGCAACAAAAAAAGCUUUAGAAAAGCAGUACUAAUUUCACCUCUGCAACAGAGAAAGUACAAUUAGUUGGCAUUUCCUACUGAUGGCUAAUUGCCUGAAUAAAAAAUGAGCAGUAGGUAUAAUGAUGGUGUUAUUUUCUUCCGCAAGCACCAAAACUUCGCCAAAAAGGUAAAAUAUAUUGGGAGCAUUGUACCUUUAUUUUCGCUAUAAUCCUUGCUCUUGCUUCUAGAAUAUAUGAUGGCAAUGCGAGCUAGCCAGCGUCUUCAUAUUAGUCCUAUCCAAAAAGCACACCAAAGUUAACAGUUGGAUUGAUUGUAUUAUCUCUGAAAUGCCAUUAUCAGAAAUUUAGCUGAUGCUUAAUAGUAAAUAGAAGUGCAGGGCUUGCUUAUCACACUUACUUAGGACUCAUGGGCCUUAUCUAAUUCCCCUCCAAAGCAAACCAUCUUUCUAUGCGAAAUGGGCAAAUGUGUAGGCAAAAAUGCUAUAUACCAAAGAGUAUAUGGCAAUCUAAACUGAAGUGCUACUCACAAGAAACCGAAUAUGAUAACAUGUUGUUGCUUGCUCUAAUAAUAAAUAAGGUGUUGGAAAGGAGGGGGGUCUAUUUUAUUAUACAGUUUAGUUUAGUGAUCUGAUAAAAAAUAAGGGCAUGUCCAAACCAGACAUGCGCAAGAGCCUCAAAUCCAUCAGGACACUUUGGUUAGAUCAGAAUGAGCAGAAAUGAAAAAUAGUGGCAAAUUCAGCACAAGGGAAAACAAGUUUUGCAUCUACACAACAGUGAAGCAAGGUAAUGAGCUAAAUUAGUGGACCUAGCACAUAUCUGAUUCACUCUACACUGUAGGCUUACAUAGCAUCACAGUAAUCUCCGGUCACUCAUACGAAACCAAGCAAAUUGAAGACCAAGAUUUGCAUAUGGUAAAUGAAGGAAUGAAGCCAUACAUGCAGGAGAAAUUCGUCGCAUCGUGUUGCAAAACCAGAAAAGUAAAACCAAACCCCCUCUCCUAGAGCCUCUUCCCUAUGAUUUUCUUAGACACCAUGGGAAUGAUGAGGGCAGAAGUUUAGAGCUAGCAUGGAAAGGGACACCAUGGUACAUUGAAAAGGAGAGGCUCUUUGUACAGCAAAACAGCUCAGUGCACUCGGCGGGCAAGGUUGCGGAAGGAGGGUUGCUGCCAUCAGGGUAGGAAUCAACCCUCACCCAAACCCUAUCUGCAUAAGAACAAAAAAAGGAAGAAAUUAAUUAGUGGGAUGAGCUCAGGUCAAAAAAUGAGGAAAGGAGUAAGAAAGGGCUCACCUGUGCUGGUGUCUCCGCCACGAACUGGGAGCUGUCCUUGACAUCUCCUCUGCAGGUAGCCGUCUGGGUGGGGGCUCGACCAGGACGGAUUCGUCCAGUGUCACUCACUGUUGUCCUCACUCAAGUCUGCAGCACACUGUUGUCUGUGGCCUGCCUAGCUUUUGUGUGCCCUCUCCACCCUGCCUGAAUGGGAGAGAUUGGAGAGGGAUGAGGAGGGGUUGUGAGGAAGAGAGAGGACCCGUUGAAGAGAAAAAAAUAGAGGACCUGUGGAAGAGAGAAAAAGAGAGAAAGAGUGUUCACCUGUUCUGACUACAACACCCGGAGAACGAGCAAGCGGAAGCGGGAAGCGCGUGCAAAGGAGGUGUGGAGGAGGAUGUGGCCAUCGCCAUGAGGAGGAGCGGCGCCGCUGCUGCUUCACCCGUGGCCUUGAGGAGGAGCGGCGCCGCCGCUGCUGCGCAGAAGAGCGAAGCCAACACACAAUUAAAAGUCUGAAGGCUUCAUCUAACAUCAUAGGUCUUCAUGGGUCUAGAAAUCAACCUGGAUUUACUACCUGAAGAAAGGGAAAUAGGCAUGUACUUUGUCCAAGAUCUAGAAUGAUAUGUAUGAUACGAAAACACUCUGCAUCUAGCUAUUCAUAUAUGAAACAAAAUCAUAACAAUUUUACCUAAUCAAGGUAAUGAGCUUACAUGAGCACAUUCGCUGCUC
This 4752-nucleotide long non-coding RNA is filed under the name Triticum aestivum (bread wheat). RNAcentral describes it as "long non-coding RNA (TAES_LNC020444)". Lineage: Eukaryota; Viridiplantae; Streptophyta; Magnoliopsida; Poales; Poaceae. The record is from RNAcentral.